RNAcentral lists this long non-coding RNA (333 nucleotides) under Mytilus galloprovincialis (Mediterranean mussel). The record is from RNAcentral. Lineage: Eukaryota; Metazoa; Mollusca; Bivalvia; Mytilida; Mytilidae.
CAAAAACAGCAAAAUUUCCUUAAAACUAACAAUUCAGGGUCAGCAACCCAACAAUGGGUUAUCCGAUUCAUCUAAAAAUUUCAGAGCAGAUAAAUGUUGACCUGAUAAACAAUUUUACCCAUGUCAGAUUUGCUCUAAAUGCUUUGGGUUUUGAGUUAUAAGCCAAAAACUGCAUUUUACCCCAUGUUCUAUUUUUAGCCAUGACGGCCAUCUUGGUUUGAUGGCCGGGUCACCGGACACAUUUUUCAAACUACUAACCCAAAAGAUGAUUGUGGCCAAGUUUGGAUUAAUUUGGCCAAGUAGUUUCAGAGGAGAAGAUUUUUGUAAAAGAUA